GGGAGGGGGGGCUAGCGUUGUUCGGAUUUACUGGGCGUAAAGGGCGCGUAGGGCGGUAUGCCAUGUCAGGGGGUGAAAGGGCCUGGGCUCAACCCAGGAACUGCCUUUGAAACUGGCAAACUAGAGUCCGAUAGAGGAUGGCGGAAUUCCCAGUGUAGAGGUGAAAUUCGUAGAUAUUGGGAAGAACACCAGUGGCGAAGGCGGCCAUCUGGAUCGGCACUGACGCUGAGGCGCGAAAGCGUGGGGAGCAAACAGGAUUAGAUACCCUGGUAGUCCACGCCGUAAACGAUGUGUGCUAGACGUUGGGGGCCUUAGGCCCUGGGUGUCGCAGCUAACGCGUUAAGCACACCGCCUGGGGAGUACGGCCGCAAGGUUA
RNAcentral lists this ribosomal RNA (376 nucleotides) under uncultured organism. RNAcentral describes it as "partial 16S ribosomal RNA". It matches the Rfam family "Bacterial small subunit ribosomal RNA", at positions 524 to 896 of the family's 1533-position model. The record is from RNAcentral.